GGUUGGAAAAUAUUCCUCAGCGAUGCAGCCCGGUCCCGCUCAACAUCCCUGGUGUUCACAUGCUCCGGAAAGCGGUGCGCCGAAGGGAGCCCCCGGGCCUAGGCCUAGGCUGGGAGCUUGCUGGCCCGGGCGUACCUGGGUGACAUUUCCCAGUGCGCAGAUCUCAGCAUCCUGGCAGCCAACCUCAACUCUCUUGGCCACCAUAAAGCAGUCACUGAAAGGACACAGCUGCAGGAACUCGAGACUAAGCACUAAAUAAAUCCACAGGGCUGGAGGCAGAAGUUACAUACAUGACCUUAACACAGUACUCUGCGGUUAUGAGUGAACAGAUCAGCAUCUCAUGCUGCUGGAGCUGCGUAUGAAGGAUCAGUUGACGCCUCAGCCGGUGCUGUGUUUCUAGUGGGGGAGAUGUCCACUUCACAAACCAAAACAAAUCCCCAAGCCACGCCGACAUGAAAGGAGCCUCCUUAACUUUGGCUGGCAUCCGAGGGAGAAGGGCUUGCUAGGAGGGGAGCGAACUGUUUAUUCUCUCAGAUAUCGCUUCAGAUGGGAGUCGAUGCGCAGGCCCAUGGGCCCAGUUAGUGCCAAGUUCUGGACUGCAAGGUGAGAUGUUGGAAGGAGGCUGGGAGAUGUGGCUGGAGGAUGGACGGGACCGAGAAACCGCGAAACCGCGAGAGGUGAGGCUGAACAUCGACCCACUUCGAACAACACUGCCGAAGCUUUUGACUCCAACCAGGCUCUGCUUCAGAGCAGAUCUACCACCUAUCACCUGACCUUGGGCAAGUUUCUUUAUUUCCCACAUCUGUUCAAUGAAGAGAAUAUCAAUUUUUGCUUCUUUAGGUUACUGUGUGCUUAUAUAAGAUCAUGUAUUCACAGUGCCAAGCAGCCAACGGUACUCAAUACAUUUCCUCUUAAAAUCUGGUAACUGUAAAUGGGACCCUUGGUCAGUUAGAAUGCCU
This 959-nucleotide long non-coding RNA is filed under the name Heterocephalus glaber (naked mole-rat). RNAcentral describes it as "lncRNA (ENSHGLG00000045122.1)". Lineage: Eukaryota; Metazoa; Chordata; Mammalia; Rodentia; Bathyergidae. The record is from RNAcentral.